CGGGUGAGUAAUACAUAAGUAACCUGCCCUAGACAGGGGGAGUAACUAUUGGAAACGAUAGCUAAGACCGCAUAGGUACGGACGCUGCAUGGUGACCGUAUUAAAAGUGCCUCAAAGCACUGGUAGAGGAUGGACUUAUGGCGCAUUAGCUGGUUGGCGGGGUAACGGCCCACCAAGGCGACGAUGCGUAGCCGACCUGAGAGGGUGACCGGCCACACUGGGACUGAGACACGGCCCAGACUCCUACGGGAGGCAGCAUG
Molecule: ribosomal RNA, 260 nt
Filed under: uncultured bacterium
Lineage: Bacteria
Description: partial 16S ribosomal RNA
Rfam family: Bacterial small subunit ribosomal RNA
Source: RNAcentral